This 254-nucleotide ribosomal RNA is filed under the name uncultured bacterium. Its description in RNAcentral is "partial 16S ribosomal RNA". It matches the Rfam family "Bacterial small subunit ribosomal RNA", at positions 524 to 776 of the family's 1533-position model. The record is from RNAcentral.
UACGUAGGGUGCAAGCGUUAAUCGGAAUUACUGGGCGUAAAGCGUGCGUAGGCGGCUCAGUAAGUCGGGUGUGAAACCCCCAGGCUCAACCUGGGGACGCCACCCGAUACUGCUGUGGCUAGAGUCCAGUAGGGGAGUGUGGAAUUCCCGGUGUAGCGGUGAAAUGCGCAGAUAUCGGGAGGAACACCAGCGGCGAAGGCGGCACUCUGGGCUGGUACUGACGCUGAGGAGCGAAAGCGUGGGUAGCAAACAGG